GACGAACGCUGGCGGCGUGCCUAAUACAUGCAAGUAGAACGCACAGUUUAUACCGUAGCUUGCUACACCAUAGACUGUGAGUUGCGGACGGGAUAGUAACGCGUAGGUAACCUGCCUAGUAGCGGGGGCUAACUAUUGGAAACGAUAGCUAAUACCGCAUAAUAUUAAUUAUUGCAUGACAAUUAAUUGAAAGGUGCAAUUGCACCACUACCAGAUGGACCUGCGUUGUAUUAGCUAGUAGGAGAGGUAACGGCUCACCUAGGCGACGAUACAUAGCCGACCUGAGAGGGUGAUCGGCCACACUGGGACUGGGACACGGCCCAGACUCCUACGGGGAGCAGCAGUAGGGAAUCUUCGGCAAUGGACGAAAGUCUGACCGAGGAACGCCGCGUGAGGGAAGGAGGGUUUCGGAUCGUAAAGCUCUGUUGUAAGAGAAGAACGGGUGUGAGAGUGGAAAGUUCACACUGUGACGGUAUCUAACCAGAAAGGGACGGCUAACUACGUG
This 505-nucleotide ribosomal RNA is filed under the name uncultured bacterium. Its description in RNAcentral is "partial 16S ribosomal RNA". It matches the Rfam family "Bacterial small subunit ribosomal RNA", at positions 28 to 507 of the family's 1533-position model. The record is from RNAcentral.